This 463-nucleotide ribosomal RNA is filed under the name uncultured bacterium. RNAcentral describes it as "partial 16S ribosomal RNA". It matches the Rfam family "Bacterial small subunit ribosomal RNA", at positions 28 to 507 of the family's 1533-position model. The record is from RNAcentral.
GAUGAACGCUGACCGAAUGCUUAACACAUGCAAGUCGAUGGGGAAGUGGUGCUUGCACCAUGGCAACCAUGGCGGACGGGUGAGUAACGCGUAAGGGACUUACCUGCAGGACUGGGAUAACAGGGGGAAACUCCUGACAAGACCGGAUAAUGUCAUGGAGCUGCAUGGCUUUAUGAUGAAAGGAGACGCCUGCGGAGAGCCUUGCGUCCUAUUAGCUAGUUGGUGAGGUAAUGGCUCACCAAGGCGAAGAUAGGUAGCCGGCCUGAGAGGGUGGACGGCCACAAGGGGACUGAGAUACGGCCCUUACUCCUACGGGAGGCAGCAGUGGGGAAUAGUGGACAAUGGGGGCAACCCUGAUCCAGCAAUUCUGUGUGCACGAAGAAGGUUUUCGAAUUGUAAAGUGCUUUCAGCAGGGAAGAAGUAAGUGACGGUACCUGCAGAAGAAGCGACGGCUAAAUACGUG